Oryctolagus cuniculus (rabbit) is the source of this 445-nucleotide non-coding RNA. Lineage: Eukaryota; Metazoa; Chordata; Mammalia; Lagomorpha; Leporidae. The record is from RefSeq and is a predicted model, not a curated record.
UUCGAGUUUUCCCUUUGGGGAUCUGAGGGAGUCCAACCUUGUAAAUGGAUUUUGCACUCCUCAAUCGAAAGCAGAUUUCCUUCUAAGUGUUUCUUCCUUCUGGAACCAUGUGAACAAAUCCAGGCCAGCCUGCUGGAGGGAGAAUGUCCAUGAGGAGCCAAAUGAUGACAUUGAGGCAUAACAGGUGAAGUAAUCUACCCUUUGUAACAGACAACACUUUGAGAGGAAGGAAUUGAGAGGUUGAGACAUCAUUUGGAGAAGAAAAUCAGCUCUGACACCGAAUUUGAAUUUCAAGAUGGCAGAAUGUUUAUGUGAAAUGAAAUAGAUGCAGAAUGAAGGGGAUUAUGAUCUUAGACUUGUGUAUUAAUGUUUUAAAGGGAAAUUGAAGACAUUUAUUUUGGGUAUAAAGCAGUUUAAGAGUUAAUUUUGCUCUUUCUCUUCUUCU